Long non-coding RNA from Octopus bimaculoides (California two-spot octopus), 442 nucleotides. Lineage: Eukaryota; Metazoa; Mollusca; Cephalopoda; Octopoda; Octopodidae. The record is from RefSeq and is a predicted model, not a curated record.
UUUAUUGUUAUGGUGACGUCACGCCGCGCUCUCCGUGUUGUUUUCAUUCUCUCACAGAUUUAUUUGGGUCUGCAAAUAGUCACUGCAUUUAUAUAGUGUUUACAAUAUAUAUACAUCAUAUAUUUACACACACAUAUACAUAUAUGUAUAUAGAUAAAUACACACAUACAUAUAUGUAUGUUAAGUAUAUAUAUGUUCUGUUUAUAUGUUAUUAUAGCUGCAUAUACACACAUCUUAUGUGUGAUAUCAAAUUCCAUUUGCAUUGAUGCGGAGGUAAUCCACGACUGACUGAAUGAACAGUAAUCUAAUGAUGCUGUGUGAUCUAGUGUCAGCUUGUUGAAAACUACUUGCAUGAAGUCAGCUGACAGGCUUGCUGCCUCACCGAGUUUUAUUUAUUAUUCUUUGAAAAAAUAACUGUUAAAAUCGAACUGCACUUUUUAAA